Molecule: long non-coding RNA, 4399 nt
Organism: Notothenia coriiceps (black rockcod)
Lineage: Eukaryota; Metazoa; Chordata; Actinopteri; Perciformes; Nototheniidae
Exons: 2
Source: RefSeq, a predicted model, not a curated record
CAUCUAUUAUUAUUAUUAUUAUACAAAUAAACUAACCUUGAACUGUUUUAGAAUAAAAUGGCUUUAAGGGAAUAUUUAGGGGUGUUUGGGGCUAAGGCGAUAAAUGGGUGUCCUGACCAAUUAGAGAGUCAGUGAGUUGAUCAACCUGUCGAAAUGUGCUUUGGAGAGAUACUCAACCCCAAUUGCUCCUAUCUUUUGAAGUGUAUGUCAGCACUUUGGGAGAAAAACAUCAGCUACAUUAUGAAAUGUAAUAUAAGGUAAAACAUUACCAACUGGACAUGACUAUAAUGGACAGAUUUUCAAUUAAUUGCUAAGUUUUUAAUAAGUUACCUGCUAAAAGACAUUUUGUGAACUUGUUUGAGAAUAACAAUCAUGUUGUCCCUCCAAAAAAAUGAAAGGUACAGAGAUUUCUCCGAUAAAGUUAUGUCUUAGUGAUCUACUGACAAAAACAAAACAUAACUACAAAUCUUAUUCUUUGUAAGUUAAGUUUAGGUACUGAAAAUGUAAAUAUUUUGUAUGAACAGAACAAUUGACGCUUUUAUGUCCAUUUUGAUCUCAAAUCCAUUCGCCUUUUGAAUGCUCAGCUCUACCCUGAUGUAAGCCUGUAACUAUAUCUCACUUCUCACCGUGUGUGUGUGUUUACGCUCUGCAGGCCGGGGGAGAUUGGAAAGAGGAAGCACAUCUGUCACGUCAUCGGCUGCGAGAAGACGUUCAGGAAAACGUCGCUUCUCAGAGCUCACGUCCGGCUGCACACCGGAGAGAGACCCUUCGUCUGCAACUGGGUUUUCUGUGGGAAACGAUUCACACGCAGCGACGAACUGCAGCGGCACGCCAGGACGCACACAGGAGACAAGCGCUUCGAGUGCACCCAGUGUCAGAAACGCUUCAUGAGGAGUGACCACCUGACGAAGCAUUAUAAGACUCACAUUAACACCAAGAACCUGUGAGCUGCUGCCCAACGUUUACACAGACAAACUCUAUGAAACUAAAGACAGUAUUAGAGGACGGAGGGGCAGAGGAGACGAUACCAAGGGAGUGUCUGUGACUUCUCCCGUUAUGGGAAAUACUCCAAAAAGAAGUCCCUAUAUCCCCUCUCACUCUGGGCACUGUGUACUACUGUGUAGCAUGGUGUACAAAGAAAACCUUCCUAGUGGACUUCAGACGGAUCCAGCAAACGUAUGAAUAAUAGUUUUAUGUAUCUUUUUUUUCCUCGAGCUCCGACUGACCGUGCAAAAAUGAUGGGGAUUCAGACGCUUAUUUGCUUAUUUAUAAACCUCUCUGGAUGAAGAUCAUACAUGUUAUUAUUCAGACGCCAAGACCACAAGACUCUAUAUACAGUUCCCGUCUUUUUGUAUUUUUUAUUUCCCCCACUUGGUUUUUCAAUUGUUUGUAGUGAGUAAGAGCUCCCAAAAAUUGGCUUUAAAGCACCAAAAAAGGCAAAAAUAAUACAAUUGUUUUGUACAUUUCAUAGAAAUAUGUUUUACCUCAGUGAAAUGUUCAUUGUGUGCUUAAGUUAUUUGUGUUUUAGCAGGAGUGUCUGCUGAUUUAAAACCUGAAAAACAGUUAAACACAAACUCCCCUUACAGACUUUUGGAAACCUUUAGAAGUUUUGGCUAUUUUUUAAAGUGUGUGUGUAUUCAUACUAAUAAACAUAACAUUAUUAAUGAUGAUAAACUAACAAUUUUUUCAUACAAUUGUUAGAAAUUCACUCACAAAUAUGUAAACAGAUCUUGACAUCGAAAAAGAAAUGAGACGCGGAAGAGUAUGUAAAGACAAGAACUCGGCAAAAAUCUUUCAGUCUCAGGCUUAGAUUUCAUAUGCAGUCGAGGGCCAGAAGUCACUGAUCCUUUUAACAAAAAAAAUAAAAUGUAUAUUUCAAAAUCAACUUCAAAAGAAACUGGCAAAAUAGGGAAAUCCGAGUAGUUUAGUAAUAUAUUGGUGAACAUCCAGCUGGAAAUUAUACAUAUUGUUGUCCAAAUACAACAUUAAGGACACAUAUCAAUAUCAGAAAACGUUACAAAAUCAAUUACCGGUAAAUACAUUUCGCUUAGUCUGAGAUAUGCAAGACUGAACAUUACAUUUCAAGUAUUGACAAUUUUGGUCAAGAUUAAGGAACAUUUCGACUUAGAGAAAAGCUGGUUAAGGGGCUUAAGUGAGUCUCCUAUUAUGAUUAGGUGUAAUAUCACAAAGUGCAAACAUAUAAUUAGAGAAUGAUGGAGGACCCAGGCUUGAUCCUUGUGGAACACCAAAUAUGAUUAUACCAAAUGUUCUGAGUGAUUGGUCAGUAUGUUAAUGAUAUAAAAGCAGGAUGUCACCUAUUACCAACUUCAAGGAAAUUAUACUCUCUUAUUAUUAUUGGAUUCAUGUAGAGGAAACGCUUAAGUAUCAUGUUUUUUAGGAGUUUGUGACUGAAUCAAUAACUUGAUGUCCAAGGAGAGUCAUUAUUUCACAUAUAAAUCAAUGUAAACUACCUAAAAAUGUCUUCUUUCUUAGAGAAGUACUGCAAAAACGUUCAUAUUUCUGGAAUACCUUUUAAUUCCCUGUGUUGUCAAGAGGCUGAGUUUAAAACCCUGAAACAAUAAUUAAGUAUAUAAACUAAUAAUAACAAAUUAUCAAAAUAACUUGUAUAAUAAAGUUUGAGAAUUACGGUCAAAGAGGUCUCUUAAGUCUCCAGGUGCUAAGGAUUUAAUUCAGUUCAAUAUGAGUUGGUUUUCCAUCUUCAAUAUUACAAAAGGUACGCUUACGUCUAGGGCUGGGUAUCGAGGUUGUCAUUUAUUGAGAUUUCUAAUAUUUGGCCAAGUUAAUUCUCUUAACUUGUUCUUUAUCACAUAUUUCCUGAUUUAAAUCAAAAACGUUGGGUGGUUUUAACACAGUUCUCUGUUAGGUUCUUGAAUGGCUGCUUGUGUUUUUUAGACAUUUUAUUUUAACAUGAACUCUCCUGUUAUUAACCGGAAAUGUUUUUUGUUUGUUUUUUAUUCAAAUGUUUCUACUUCAUCUUGUUAGGUAUCAAAAAAAGAAUGAUACCCAGCCCUACCUACACUAUGUGUACUAAUAAAUAACUAGGGUAACUGCUAUUCUGCUUCACUCAUGGUAUCAUUUUGAUUUGAGGAUUUGUAGCCUAUGCAUUGCUGUAUAUACGAUCAGAUUUACAAUGAUUUGGCCUAACUUGACAAUCACUCGCCGAGAUGAAAAAGUUAUCUUUCUCAGGCCUUUGAUUCGUCGCUUUAUACAUGCCUUUUUUCCAGCUAUGUGAUAGCUUUAAUUCUGAAUUAACACUUUUUGUUGAUAUACAGAUGACCAGCAUUAGACCUACUGUACAGUAUUCACAUAAUUUACUUUAAUGUCUUGUGCUUUACAGAAAACAUUGUUGCUCAUUUUUUGAAAUAUUGAAGAUGAACUGACCUUUUUCCUAACAUGUCAUCAGACAGUUUGAAGUCAAAUGUGUGCAGGGGUUCCUUUUGUUUAGAUAAAUACACCAAGCUAUUGUAAAAUAAGCUUUUUGGUCAAAUUAGCACGGUGCCAUCGGACAGCAGGUACCUCUGCUUUGAGUUUUCACUGUUUCAAUACAUGCUAAACAGCUUUGACCAAAAAGCUAAAGUCAGAUUUAUUUUAAAAGUACUUUGAAGCAUUUUCCUCAAAGUGCUUCACAAGGGGCGACAGAUAAGCUUAAGCUUACAUGCAGGUGGCCAAUAUUUGGUGUAUUUUUUCAAGAAUGUGUCUGAAGACAUGCCAUUGGGGGAUGGAUAGACAGAGCGUGCUCAUAUUUAUGUUUGUAUUUCAUGUCUGGAUAAUGUAAAUACAGUGUGUGUCUGGUAGACACCGUAAAUGUAGGAUAUUAAAACCCAAAAGUUAAGCUGCCUAGUGUUGUGGUCGGCGAGGCCGGCCUGAAGGAAACAGACUUUGUACAGUGUGUAAGGAAUAAAAUAUAAUGUAACAUUGUAUAGCUUCAUUCCUGCUUUGUAUAGGACUUUGAGAUCUUUUUUCUAUUGAAUUAAAGAUGCCUUAGACAGCUGCUCCCAGUAUUCAAAAAUAGUCUAAUUCCAGGUAACAACAUUUGUACAAUUAUUUUAUGUUUUUUAACUUCUGUUACAUGCUAAUGUAAUGUGCACUAAUUUAAAAUCCCAGGUUCCUAAAUUUGUAAAUUUGAUCUUCAUUGUAAUUCAGUUUAAUGAGAUUUUUCCAAAUUGAGACAUUUCUAUUGGUUGGUUUCGGUGAAUGAAAUGCUUCUCCUUCUCCAAGCCUGUAUGUUGUACAUUGUUCUGCAGCCAUGUGUUUUGUUUGUUUGGAGAACCCAGAGAACCAGCAAUUCCUUUUUUGUUACUUCUGUAAAGUUACUGAAAAUAAAGUUUGCUCCUUUUCUACAGUCACCUCCCUUAAUAAAGAACUCAUAAAUAAUAAA